Long non-coding RNA from Synchiropus splendidus (mandarinfish), 1217 nucleotides. RefSeq lists it as uncharacterized. NCBI's taxonomy places the organism in Eukaryota, Metazoa, Chordata, Actinopteri, Syngnathiformes, Callionymidae. The record is from RefSeq and is a predicted model, not a curated record. The transcript is spliced from 3 exons.
ACAGUCUGAAGGCAACACCCUGACUUCCAUCUUGGGAGAGGAAAAGUUCUCUGGCAGAAAGGUCAUCCUCGCCGUCUGGUCUGAGGGCAUGACUAUGAUGUCCGCCUCCUCACUGCAGGAGGAGAGUGUGUGACCUCCUGAGCCUGGAGGAAUCAGUCUGGUCGGGGAACAGAAGAAAGACUUGUCAUCCGCAUCCCAAGUACUGCAAUGUUAUUCCUGGGGAAAAGGACGUGUGGAAUGCAGCGGAGGGGAGUGAAAAGGACGCAACAUUAGUGUCUCUCCAACAUCCUGCUCUAGUCUAUAGAAACUGCUCCAUGUCAGAUGCCACACCAUCGUCCCCUGCAGGUCAUAAUGACUGACACCCCAGGGAACAGCGGAAUUAUCUUGUGUUUUCUAACACCAUCCUGAUCUGGACAGACACUCAAGCCUCAGUGGUCAGAGCUCAUGACCUUCUCACUUUCAGGACGUAGCUUUGUGUUGUCUUCUUAGUCCACAAGGUGGCGCUGUCAGUCCGUUUACUUCCUCAGUCCUCAGUGUGCGUGCGCACGCGCAAUCGCGACACUACAUUCGCCCACCUUUUUCGUCGUCUGACACGGUAAGAACAUGCCACACUUGCUUACUACCCGGCACGGAAUUAAACAAUAACUCCCAAAAAAGAAAAAAAACACUCCUGCUUUAGUUUACAUGGAAUUCAAUUUGUGGCCACCUGUUUCCUGUUGUGAAGGAUAUAGAAUCUACCUACGGACUGGUUCUUUCAAAAUAAAAGCUUAAAGCCACUGGCGUGGUUCAAGGCAACGGAAGUCGAAGUGGAAUUGAAGUACAUACUACAGCUAUGUGACACUAUUAAAGUUCUGAUUGUCCUCAAAAUAAUGGACUCAAAACAGCACUUCAGUAGGUUCUUGUACUUCGGUUCUCUGGAUGAAGAAAACCCAGCAGACUGUGCAGUCUGCGCUAUUUUUUUUUCUACAAUCUAAUUUUGUCAAGUCGAUUGACAGUGACGGUGACAUUGAUCAGUAGAGGAAUUAUUAUUUUUAUUCUCUCCAAAAGGCCUGUCACCUGUUACACACCACCGGAAAAGUAUCCUGAGCUUCACCCUGUGUUCAUUUAUUGACAUUUCGCUUUGCAACAGUCUGUCAAGCCGAGCUUCUCCCCCGGUCUCAGAAGCAAUGUCUGCUCCUGACCUGAAAACCUGCAUUCUCCUCUCUUGGAACACAAUA